UCGAGGAUCUUCGGCAAUGGGCGCAAGCCUGACCGAGCGACGCCGCGUGUGCGAUGAAGGCCUUCGGGUUGUAAAGCACUGUCGAGGGGGAGGAAGCCGCAAGGUUGACCUAUCCCUGGAGGAAGCACGGGCUAAGUUCGUGCCAGCAGCCGCGGUAAGACGAACCGUGCGAACGUUGUUCGGAUUCACUGGGCUUAAAGGGCGCGUAGGCGGCGCGAAAAGUCUGGGGUGAAAUCUUUCGGCUUAACCGGAAAAGAGCCCCCGAUACUGGCGCGCUGGAGGGAGGUAGGGGCAUGUGGAACUCCAGGUGGAGCGGUGAAAUGCGUAGAUAUCUGGAGGAACGCCGGUGGCGAAAGCGACGUGCUGGACCUUCUCUGACGCUGAGGCGCGAAAGCUAGGGGAGCAAACGG
Molecule: ribosomal RNA, 410 nt
Filed under: uncultured bacterium
Lineage: Bacteria
Description: bacterial SSU rRNA
Rfam family: Bacterial small subunit ribosomal RNA
Source: RNAcentral